Gallus gallus (chicken) is the source of this 1178-nucleotide long non-coding RNA. Lineage: Eukaryota; Metazoa; Chordata; Aves; Galliformes; Phasianidae. The record is from Ensembl.
AAGAACUUGAGGAUACUAGUGAAUGGAAAGCUGGACAUGAACCAGCAAUGUGUCCUUGCAGCCCAGAAAGCCAACUGAUCUGUGUGCUAUAAAUGCACCAGAGUAUGACCCACUUGUGCCCUAGGCUCAGAAGUGUUUGAAUCUGUACAGUUUUAUAGCCUUGGAAUAUAUUUUGUUACCAGAAGAAAACGUUGGCAUGAUCCUCACAGUCAGUUACCAAUGGCGUUUCUGCUCCAUGCACCAUGGAAGAAACAGGCUGGAGAGAGACUGAAAGACUUUAUCUGACUCUUACAAACAGCGGGUUAUUGAAAGAAACAUCACAGCUUUCCUUAAGUUUGAAUAUGCUAUUAUUUUGUCUUUAUAAAAAGCUCAAAGUUGGGAUAAAACAGCUGUAUCUACAAAACACCAGCAACCUCUAUUAAUAACUUGAAUGAAUGUUUCAGCUUGGAGUCUGAGGCACAAAUGAUUCCAGGAGUAUUUUUGAUUACAAAGCACUGGAAUAUUUCAGGCAUUAACUUUUUUGAGCAGUAGAUUCUUGUAAAUGAAAAAAGAAAAAAAAGACGUAUGCAAAAAAGUAUGGUAUUAUAUUGUGUUCCUGUACUGUAUGUUGAUGUUAAAAGCAAGUUAUCUGACUGAACACUACCAGCAGGCUACUCAAAUGUGAACACUGCUGAAUUAGGACAAUAAUGGUAAGUGGUAGCAAAGUACAGCCAUGAAGGUCAAGAUUAUGGAAAUUUUUAGUGAGUUUCUGCACAGAGAAGUUGUGGAUUCUGGAAAAAAAGACUACAAAGAUAAAAUUCAGAGCUAGAAAAAGAACUUGACCAUUAACAUUUAUAUAGCUACACUACAAAGCAGAGAAGACAGUCAGAAAGGUCAGGUAAUAAAAUGUAUAGGAUUUUUAUGACCCAGAAGUGCUCUGAGGGAUGUUAAAUUGGUUAAGGCUAAUGUUUGACUGCUUAAUGAAAAGCAAAAUUUUCUAUCUGUUCAGCUUCAGACUUUUCACAAAAUGUAAAAAUGUUAACCUUUCUAUUUUUACCUAAAGAUGUAGGCACAAAGAAUUGUGAAAAAACAGGAAGUUUGGUGACUGUUUGAAAUUCCAAUUGUAUGUUAGAAGUAUGAAAAAAUACAAGAGGAAAGAAAUGUUAUUAUUUGCUGUAUCAGAGGUAAAUGAAAUAAAG